Molecule: ribosomal RNA, 406 nt
Filed under: uncultured bacterium
Lineage: Bacteria
Description: partial 16S ribosomal RNA
Rfam family: Bacterial small subunit ribosomal RNA
Source: RNAcentral
AUUGAACGCUGGCGGCAGGCCUAACACAUGCAAGUCGAACGAGCGGCGGACGGGUGAGUAAUGUCUGCGGAUCUGCCCGAUAGGGGGGGAUAACUACUGGAAACGGUAGCUAAUACCGCAUACUAUCGUAUGAACCCAUAUGGGCUUAGUUAGUAGGUGGUGUAAAGGGUCACCUAGACGACGAUCUCUAGCUGGUCUGAGAGGAUGAUCAGCCACACUGGGACUGGAACACGGCCCAGACGCUUAGGGGAGGCAGCAGUGGGGAAUAUUGCAAAAUGGGCGCAAGCCUGAUGCAGCCAUGCCGCGUGUAUGAAGAAGGCCUUAGGGUUGUAAAGUACUUUCAGCGGGGAGGCGUUACCCGCAGAAGAAGCACCGGCUAACUCCGUGCCAGCAGCCGCGGUAAUAC